GUUCAACCACGGGGCGCCUCCCCCGAUGCGAAUUUCGGUCAGGCCCGCAGCUUUUUAACACUUAUGUGACCCACAGGCCUCCUCUGCAGUGGAUUCGCAAGCCAGGGUUAAUCUUCCCCCUCCCCUCCUCCCCUUCAGCUCUCCUUUAAAAACAUCCUGAUAAAAUGUCCUGGAGUCCCUCAGCCUCUCCGGCAGUACGUCUCCCCAGCCAGGAGCGUGCCCAUUGCGCUUUCGGUACAAGCUGGAAUCAAAGCGCUUUUCUCCGGUGAGCUGUGCUGACUGCAUGUAGUUGGGGUCAUCCUUAGCUCGGCAUAGACCCUGAAUUCCCCCUCCCACCCCAGAUCAUUGGAGAACACUCGACUUAGGGAGAUGGCUCAGUUAAUUGGCUUUCCGCAAGACCAUUUGCAUAUUUCCGGGGCUCCACGUGAAAUGCGUUUUCUGAGAAGCUCACUGAGGCAUGUAAUCGCCAGGCUUGCUGAUCUGUCGAUAGCAGCGAGCGUCUCUGAGAGCCAGAUGACACGCAUCUCAUUUUACUCAACUGCAGCACCAACAUAAAUCAUUUUCCCGUUUCUACAUAAAGACCCGUAACCGUAAUAUUUUGUGUGUUGUGAAUGUUUAAUGUCUGGAGACACAGUUGUGUAUUUAAACGUAUGAAGCAAAAGAAAUGUCAAAUCUUGAACACUUUCCGGUUGUCCUUCUGAGCACCAAUGCUUCAGCUCAGUCCCAUCAAGGGAGGGUGAAUUUUUCUCGACAUUUCCAUCUGGCUCACAUUGGGAGGCUGUAUGCGGUCGACUCACCAACAUGAGACGGCUUCGGCAGCCAUGCUGGAUGGAGCAAACAGACUGACGUCCUGUUUGGUCUUUUUCAUUUUUUCCUCCACCCCGCUGAUCAUUUGCAGAUGAGCUCCUGAAGGAGACAUUUUGGGGUCUCUCUGCCUGUGACGUCCCUGCAGAGACAUUGUUGUCAGUAAGAACGCUGCUGAUUUUACGUGCCUGGUAUACAUCAAUUUGUUUGAGGGACCACCUCUGUUUAGAAGCAAGUUCUGAGAACGAAAGGUUUCCGCAGUGGCUGAGGCUGAUACAGUCUAGGGUGCAUCUUUCAGCUCUCAGCAUCUUCUAUUGUCUCUGGACUUCCAUGUUGACUUGUUCAAUGACAUGCACACAUUGGGUACUGACUGGUACAUUUUCACGAUUUGGGAGGGGGGGAGUUGGUCAGGGGAGGCAAAAAAUGCUGGUUCUCCAUAAUAGAUUUUUCAAUAUCAUUGUUUUUUUAAAAGGGGCGCUUAAACCAUCACAGGGUCCAUUUCCAAUCUUCCGGGUAAAAGUGGCAGGUGCUCAGCUCCCCCCCCAGGUAGACCCGUUACAGAUACAGAAUCCAGACGAGGCAGAGGAGCACUUCAUGAGGGUCCAGCACAUGGUAAACAAGGUUCAGCUUGCUGUUCUUCUAGUUACAAAAGUGCUACUUUAGGCCCGCUAUCUUAUUAUGAUAAAGAGUGUCACACACUGAUGUAAAGGCAAAAAAAUCCCAUCAUACUCAUGGGUACUUAUAAUUAUUCUCAUAAAGUUGCAUUUGUAGUUGUGAGUACAAGUAGUGCAUAAAUACAUAUUAAUAAAUCAAGCAUUUAUCAGAUAAGGAAAGGAAUAUGGGAUAUGGAAUAUGGGAUAUGGGAUAUGGAAUAUGGGAUAUUGGGUAUGGAAUAUGGGAUAUGGAAUAUAGGAUAUAGCAUAUGGGAAAUGGAAUAUGGGAUAUGUAAUAUGGGAUAUGGAAUAUAGGAUAUAGAAUAUGGGAUAUGGAAUAUGGGAUAUAGCAUAUGGGAAAUGGAAUAUGGGAAAUGGGAUAUGGAAUAUGGGAUAUGUAAACAUCUUACAAUUUUUACAAUCGUAUGUGUUGCCCUAUGAGUUUAGCUUUCAUACCUUCACCCACUGGGGAGAAACCUUUGUGUCACCCAUCCGGAGGCCCCAGGAACUUGUCGGUGUCCACUGAGGAGCAUCUACAAGUGGAUUUUUUUUGGCCACCUGACGGACAUGCUGGUGCGACCUCAUUACAGCUCGCCCAACAAGAUAUGAAAUAGGCAGAUGCAAUUCCUUCGGUCACUGGUUCGCCCACAGACGUGACUCGCCAUGAGAAAGCAAGGGACGAUGGGAUCCCGGAUGGGAUUCCAGGCCAUGAUGAAACUCCCAAAUGCCCAUCGUUCAAAAACUCCUGGACUGGUGCACCACGCAAUUUCAAACUGACAGAAAUGUGCUCGACUUCGCCACCAGACUGUGUCAUGCUGAACCGUGCUGGAGAAGAAGCAGGAGGCUGGAGACCUCACGCAAGCAUUGCAGCAGCAGGAAUGAUGGUCACGUUAGCUAUAUAUAUAUAAAUAAAAUAUCUACAUUCUUACUACAUUUUAAGCUAACUCCACUUCCAGGGUGAAGAACAUUUGGAUCCGUUUACAAUAUUUAAACCUAGCCUGAAAGUAAUUUGGCUUCGUAUGGGGAACAGCAUACAGCAUUUGCCUGCAUGCCCUACAAGUCAAGCAACCAUUUAAUAAAAGGUGGUCUCCUUUGGGCCUACAGCCUCCAGGCCAAAGGCUAUUACGGAUUAAAUUUUUUAUAGAGUUUUAUUGAAAGGUUGUUCACCUCCAUUUUAAUUUCAGGCCAUGUGUAAUGUGUGCUGAAGUAGGCAUGGUUGAAGUGAAGCAGCAAAACCAUUGGUCGGUGAGAUUUAGCAUGGCUUGUCAGUCACUAUCAACAUGAAUCAGUGAUGUAAUCCAAGACACCUGGGCCAGACUUGGCCUGUAUGCAAAGGCUCCCAUCACUAAUUUGAAGUUGGUCCUCAGUCUGCAGUCAGACAGAGCUAAGCAGACUGAUCGGUGCUGCUUGUGUGAUAAUGAGAACCCAAGGUGAACACCACUGGGGGGGCUGCAGGUUCCCCUGGCAACCCAUCAUCAGUCCACUGCUUUACUGCAGACACAAGCCGCUAUGAGGGCCCGUGUUACCACCCUGUCAGCUCCCGCCAUGACCGUGAGUGUGCCUUAUUUCAUGUGUCUUCAGCAGGAUUAAUAAACGUAGGAGAACAUGGCAGUGUCUGUGCUGGAGAUGAGGCUCGGCAUUGACGAUUGCAGUGUGCCCAUGUGGUUUUGGCUCAUGGGAUCGUCACCUGGGCAGGGAUCCUCGCCUGGGGCAGACGGUGCCCCCAUCACGCCGCCAGUCCGAUUCUUCUGCUGAUUAACGACAGGAAUGCAGUCUAUCCUCCAAGCUACCCGAUGAACAGAAGUUGCGCAUGACUUCGCCCACUGAGUUCCCAACAGCCCUUUUCGCUUAGGCUGCACAAUAAACUUUGCUAGACUUGUAGUUCUCAUACAAAAUGCCAAUCCCACAAAUACCCAAACCUACAGAGAGUUUGUCUAUUGGUAUCCCAUACCUCACCACUUCCACUCUGAACAGGAAGUGAACAGAACCUCCCUGUAGGCUAGACUGAAACUGAGGGAGCACACGGUUACCUUGUGAUGAACGAAGGGCAAACCAGGCCAGGGCUCGUAAGCAUCCUGGCAGAACAAGGGCCAUAACAACAUGGUUUCCCUGGAAACGUCUCCAGAAUUGUGGCCAGAUCUACUGCUCAAAAGCGACAUCACAAUUACGAGUCAUCUCAAGUUAAAAUGAAGUCAAUUACAGUUGUCAAUUACUAUUACGCAGCCUUUAUAUCCAGCAUGUUUAAUCUGACUUGCUUUCCUGAUUCACUUAAUUUGACAUUUUUGUGGAACAUAGGCAUUCCCGUGGUAUGUGAUGAUGAAAUAAGUCUGACUGACAGAUUAACACGAAAUAGAUCGUCAGCCGAGCUCUUAAGUAUUUCACUAAUUGAUGUGCGACAGCUUUGAUAGCUGCCUCGUGUUAGCUACCUCGUGUUGUUGAUGUGUGAUGCAUGUUAUCGUCCGGCUGACAGCCACCUCGGGAUGUCAGAACAUUGCUAUUCGAUGGUCCUGUGGGAGCAGAUGAUGGGCUGAUUGAGGCAAUGCAUGUAACUAUCACAUUAUUUUGGGGGAGGGAGGUGUGACAGGCAUCGGCAUUGGUGUGAAAACCCGAAAGUGGAGGCCGGGCAAGUUGUAAGUUCUUAACACCAACUUUGUCAACUAUAUAGGUUUAUCAUUAAAUACUAGAAAAUUCACCAUCAAUGAGGUGUUAAUUGGAUUGUUUACACCUCGACUUUCAGACGUGUUUAAACAGAAGAAUCCAGGAAGUAUUUCGUCUAUAGAUGCUCACCGCCUUCCCAUCAUGCCGUGUUCCACUUCAACCCAAGACCAACUCCACCAGGAGAGCAAGAUGCUAAACAAAGGGAAAACAGGAAAAACAAGCACCACAUAGAGGUCAGAGAAAAGUAA
Molecule: long non-coding RNA, 4363 nt
Organism: Brienomyrus brachyistius
Lineage: Eukaryota; Metazoa; Chordata; Actinopteri; Osteoglossiformes; Mormyridae
Exons: 3
Source: RefSeq, a predicted model, not a curated record